UAAUGUGAACGUUUUUAGAAAUUUGACUAAUAAAGUCACUUCACUGUGCAUCAGUGACAAGAGGGGGAUGUCCGUGAGUUUGCUAAGUGAAUAUUUGUUGUAGCUUGUUCUAGAAACUAGAGUAACAACUCAAAACAGUGUCUCUGAAUUCACAGAGACACACACUAGUGGAUGAUUUAGGUAAGUGAAGAGGCAAGAACCAGAGGAGUAUUCCAGACGAUGGGAAGAAAAAAAAAAUUAUGGGAUCUAGAUUUUGGGAAUCCAGGGUGAGACCUGAAGGAGCAGAAUCAUCCAGGGAAAGAGGAGGAGGGAAGAAGAACACAGAAGUGGAGGGCACUUGAGUAACAGCAGCUGCACAGGUCUGCCAGCCACGUGGACAACGGAAUGGGGGGAGAAGACGGAUGUCAAAGAAACUGCUUAGGAGUUUGUAGUGACAAGUUCUCCAUCUACAUGAAUAUUUGAAUCGUGUCAUGCUACUUGAGACCCUCUAAUAUCAGCUGCAGAGAGCAGAAGGAAAAUAGGACCCAUAGGACUCAUCUUUACAAUGUGAAUAUAAAUACCCCUUAGGCUUUAACUCACAUUUUGUUUUUCUGUGUUUUCUUUUCUGCUUCAGUUACAGAGGAUAAUCUCUACCAGAAAACACGGGGUAUGAAGUUAGAUCUGUCUGGAAGCACAAGCAAAUCUGAAUCCAAGGAUGGAGGGUAGGAUCUGGGCUCCCAGACCACAGGAGAAGAUGAAGACAGCACACCGUGAGCCCUGGACCACACUCUUUGGAACGGCUGUAUCUAAGGAGAGAUUGCUCUCUGCCUCAGACACUAUCGCAAGAUAAUUAACAGAACCACUGCUGGAGACCGAUGAUAGCACAGGCAGCAGCUGAUACCUGUGGCAGGAACUCCCUGCCAUCCCAGUGCCAUCGAACUGUGAAGGAAAAGGACACGCAGUGCUGUGCCACACUAAUUUUACUAAACAAGUGCAUUAUUUAUAGCAGGCAUUACAGGGCUGUAUGUAUCUAUCACGUAACAGAAAUAAAGCAAAUGGUUUCUAAAACA
Molecule: long non-coding RNA, 1049 nt
Organism: Leopardus geoffroyi (Geoffroy's cat)
Lineage: Eukaryota; Metazoa; Chordata; Mammalia; Carnivora; Felidae
Exons: 3
Source: RefSeq, a predicted model, not a curated record